Molecule: ribosomal RNA, 478 nt
Filed under: uncultured bacterium
Lineage: Bacteria
Description: partial 16S ribosomal RNA
Rfam family: Bacterial small subunit ribosomal RNA
Source: RNAcentral
GACGAACGCUGGCGGCGUGCUUAACACAUGCAAGUCGAACGGUAAGGCCCUUCGGGGUACACGAGUGGCGAACGGGUGAGUAACACGUGGGUGAUCUGCCCUGCACUUCGGGAUAAGCCUGGGAAACUGGGUCUAAUACCGGAUAGGACCACUGCCUGCAUGGGUGGUGGUGGAGAGCUUUUGCGGUGUGGGAUGGGCCCGCGGCCUAUCAGCUUGUUGGUGGGGUGAUGGCCUACCAAGGCGACGACGGGUAGCCGGCCUGAGAGGGUGACCGGCCACACUGGGACUGAGAUACUGCCCAGACUCCUACGGGAGGCAGCAGUGGGGAAUAUUGCACAAUGGGCGCAAGCCUGAUGCAGCGACGCCGCGUGAGGGAUGACGGCCUUCGGGUUGUAAACCUCUUUCAGCACCGACGAAGCGCAAGUGACGGUAGCUAUAGAAGAAGCCCCGGCUAAAUUCGUGCCAGCCGCCGCAGUAA